UAGGGAAUAUUGGACAAUGGGCGAAAGCCUGAUCCAGCGAUGCCGCGUGAAUGAUGAAGGCCUUCGGGUCGUAAAGUUCUUUUCUGAGGGAAGAAUUGUCGGGCGAGGAAAUGCGCCGGAUUUGACGGUACCUCAGGAAUAAGCAACGGCUAACUCCGUGCCAGCAGCCGCGGUAAUACGGAGGUUGCAAGCGUUGUUCGGAAUAACUGGGCGUAAAGGGAGCGCAGGCGGCUUGGUCAGUCUAAAGUGAAAACCCAGGGCUCAACUCUGGGCGUGCUUUGGAUACUGCCAAGCUUGAGUACGUGAGAGGAGAUUGGAAUUCCAGGUGUAGCGGUGAAAUGCGUAGAUAUCUGGAGGAACACCGGUGGCGAAAGCGGAUCUCUGGCACGUUACUGACGCUGAGGCUCGAAAGCGUGGGGAGCAAACGGG
This 429-nucleotide ribosomal RNA is filed under the name uncultured bacterium. RNAcentral describes it as "bacterial SSU rRNA". It matches the Rfam family "Bacterial small subunit ribosomal RNA", at positions 355 to 776 of the family's 1533-position model. The record is from RNAcentral.